Brachypodium distachyon (stiff brome) is the source of this 2212-nucleotide RNA transcript. RefSeq lists it as uncharacterized. NCBI's taxonomy places the organism in Eukaryota, Viridiplantae, Streptophyta, Magnoliopsida, Poales, Poaceae. The transcript is spliced from 4 exons. The record is from RefSeq and is a predicted model, not a curated record.
CAUGGUGUGGCAACACCGCAAGAGUAGUACACCCUCUGUCCAUGAAAGGAUGUCGCGUGGUGUUUUUCGCGAAAAAAACUCUCGCGUUUUCUCCGACAAGCAUCGCGGUCCUCCCGCUUUCUCUCGCUUCGCAUCGUCUCCUGCUCCGCAUCGCCUCCGCCGCAUCUUCUCCGCGUCUCGCCCGUCGCCCGCGCCGCGCCUCGCUCGCGCCUGCGCCUGCGCCGCGCUGCUCCCCCGAGCCUCCUCCCACGAUUCGGACGCCUUCUCCCACGAUUUGGCGCCUCCGUGCAGCACCGCUCCGCGGUGCCGCUCCGCCGCCCGUCGCCCGUGCCGCGCUGCUCCUCCUCGAAGUUGGUUCAGCAGCAGAAGAUUGAGGUGGCUCGGUGGCUCCUCCACCUUGGAUUCGAUCUGGAGGGGCAUGGGGACGAGUGAGGCGACAGCGGGCGGCGGGUGGCGUCUCCUCCACCGUGGCUUCCACCUUUGUCCUCCAUGGCGGGCGGCAGCGCGGAAGUGGGCGGCGGCGCGGAAGUGGGUGGUUCGACGACCGGCGGGCCCUCUUCCUCGUCGUUCCCCAUCUCCUGCAAGCUCCGUUUGGGAGUAUCAGAAAAGAAGGCCUUUUUAUCUAACCAACUUCGAGCAAUACGAUAUCAGGAAGUUGAGCAGAGCUACAUUAUGAUCAAACCUGACGGUGUUCAACGUGGUCUGAUCAGAGCUUAUUGAAACUUACUCAUUGGAGAGCACUGAUAGAGCAUCCAAUUUCAUCAUUGUCCCUAAUCUGCAGUACAAGUACAGUGGUGAAUUUCAUCAUUAUGUUUUCUGAUACAGAGAUAGAUGCUAAAAAACACAUUCAGUGUGGUAAGAUGCAUACAAAGAAUAUAGAAAUGUUUCAGAAAUCAUCACAGAAUCAUCAUAGAAAUCACCCAUUAACAACAUCACUAUUUAUUGAAGCAGAUUUACACUCUGAACUAAACCGUAAGGAGAACAAGAAUUCUAUGUUCCAUUAAUCUAGGAUUUCAGCCACAUGGGCAGAGAAUGGAGACAAACAAAAAGAAAAUGAGUCUAGCCACAUGGGAACUCUGAUCCGUAUUCUAUUCCAAUGAACUUUGCCAAUGCUGUUACAACUGCAGUUCAGGUUCAGGCACAAUUGCAGAGACUUCAAUCACAACUUCAGUUCAGUUCAGGUUCAGGCGCAGCUGCAGCCUCAAAUUUGCUUCAGUUCAGUGAAUUGUCCAACUUCAGUUCAGUCUGCAGGGAUUGAAAUUGCGGAUCAAAGGAAGGCGGCGACCUCGUCCUCGUCCUCAGAGGAAGGCGACGACCUCGUCCUCGUCCAGGUCCUCGGCGACCUCAGAGGUCCAGGUCCUCGUCCUCAACGGAGUGGCGGCGGACGGCGAGGGAGCUGCGGAGGAGGGAACUGCGGAGGCGGCUGAAGACGAAGGAUGGAGCGUGGCGAGCAGGCCAGCCGCCCUCCGCCGAGCGCGUCCAUGAGCUCUGGCGGGAGGCCGGCGGGAGCUCCGCGCCGGUGGCGCGAGGACAGCGGGAAGGCGAUGGAUUGCACGGAGGGCAGCACGAUGGAUCUGCGCGUCUGCAUGCUCUGGCGGGAGGCCGGCAGGAGCUCUGCUUGCCUUCGGCAGCGCGACGACAGCGGGAUGAAGAUGGAGGGCAGCGCGAUGGGAAGAUUUGGUUUUCAAUUUCAGGUUUGAAUUCCAAAUUUCAAAUGAUCCAGACGUUUGGGGGAGUUUUUUGCAAAAUUUGAAUUGCACUGGAGGUGGAGGAGGACGCAACAUCCUUUCCUCAUCCUUUCCUGGACAGAGGGAGUACUAUAUGACCUGCGGUCACCCGUCACUGUUCAUAAAAGAAUAAAAUAAAAAUCUGACACGGUAUGUCUCCGAGAACUUGGCGAAAACUUGUAUGGCUAGUUCUUCUGCAAAAUACAAAAACAAUUAUUUUCACAGGGUCAGCAAAUAUAUUAGCCUAUUAGGAGAGCUUCAAAUCCACGCGUGCUAUGGUUGUGUUUGCUUACAUGGUUAUCUCGAGCCAUAAAUUUUGUAACUUUGAACUUGAAUGUAAUUUCACACGUUUAAGAAACUGAUUCAAAACCAUUUCAAUCAGGCUAAAAAGCUUUCUGUGAAAUCAUAGGUGAUGUGUAACAUUGGCAAGUGUUUUAGAUUAAACAUUGAUGUGGAUAUUUUGGAUAAUAUGGAUAUUUAUGUGA